Ceratotherium simum simum (southern white rhinoceros) is the source of this 460-nucleotide non-coding RNA. Lineage: Eukaryota; Metazoa; Chordata; Mammalia; Perissodactyla; Rhinocerotidae. The record is from the annotation of a RefSeq genome assembly.
GUCCCCGAUGGGCAACAAGGUGCUCUGCUGGGUGGUCCUUUGUCUCCUGGGAGCAGACACCAUGGACGGUGGAAUCACUCAGAGCCCAAAAUACCUGCUCAGAGAGGAAAGACGAGAUGUGACUCUGGAAUGUGAACAGAAUUUGGAUUACAAUGCCAUGUACUGGUACCGACAGGACCCAGGACAAGGACUGAGACUCAUCUACUACUCACAGUUUGUAAACAAUACUCAGAAAGGAGACAUAUCUGAAGGCUACAGUGCCUCUCGAGAGAAGAAGGCAUUCUUUCCUCUCUCUGUGACAUUGACCCGAAAGAACCAGACAGCCCUCUAUCUCUGUGCCAGUAGUAGAGACACAGUGGCAGGGCUUUUCCAGACUCAGUACCUUGAUCUGCCAGCUUUCCUCAACCUCAACCAGGCCUCCAAAGCAGCUGCUGCCAUCAUCACACUUUGCAGAAUGUGA